UGGUGCAGAAGGUCCAAGUUUACGAC
This 26-nucleotide non-coding RNA is filed under the name Rattus norvegicus (Norway rat). The record is from RNAcentral. Lineage: Eukaryota; Metazoa; Chordata; Mammalia; Rodentia; Muridae.